This is a long non-coding RNA of Mizuhopecten yessoensis (Yesso scallop), 403 nucleotides long. RefSeq lists it as uncharacterized. The transcript has 3 exons. Lineage: Eukaryota; Metazoa; Mollusca; Bivalvia; Pectinida; Pectinidae. The record is from RefSeq and is a predicted model, not a curated record.
GUAGUAGGAACAUAAUCUGACUUGGCCCAGAGUCUGCGGGAAAAUGUCCUCACUAAGUCUUCUAGCAUGGAAGAGGAAUGUGGAGCUGAGGAACUGAAACUUUUGAUCUUGAGGCUGAUUGUCUCCCUUGGGUUGAUGCAGUGUUGGAUCUAGCUGACUUUUCCUGUAGUCAGACUUCCUGGCAGACUUUGACUUCUCUGCAUGCUCCUGUGCUGUUCCACCAACAAGUCCAGUUUUCUGUCCUUGAUGUCAGGGUGCUGUGUGAAGAGUCCUGUGUUUACCUCUAUCUCUGACCUGGAAGUUUAUAUUUGACGUUGGUGUUACUUGCAGACCAUUAUCUCCAGAAAAAGGCCAACAUGCUGUUAUUGAAAUUUUAAUAUUUUGACCCAAAGGUGUUGCUCUU